This 433-nucleotide ribosomal RNA is filed under the name uncultured bacterium. RNAcentral's name for it is "partial 16S ribosomal RNA". It matches the Rfam family "Bacterial small subunit ribosomal RNA", at positions 29 to 507 of the family's 1533-position model. The record is from RNAcentral.
AGCGAACGCUGGCGGCAUGCCUAACACAUGCAAGUCGAACGGAUCCUUCGGGAUUAGUGGCGGACGGGUGAGUAACACGUGGGAACGUGCCCUUUGGUUCGGAACAACUCAGGGAAACUUGUGCUAAUACCGGAUGUGCCCUUCGGGGGAAAGAUUUAUCGCCAUUGGAUCGGCCCGCGUCUGAUUAGCUAGUUGGUGAGGUAAAGGCCCACCAAGGCGACGAUCAGUAGCUGGUCUGAGAGGAUGAUCAGCCACACUGGGACUGAGACACGGCCCAGACUCCUACGGGAGGCAGCAGUGGGGAAUCUUGCGCAAUGGGCGAAAGCCUGACCCAGCAAUGCCGCGUGAAUGAUGAAGGUCUUAGGAUUGUAAAGUUCUUUUAGCCGGGACGAUAAUGACGGUACCCGCAGAAGAAGCUCCGGCUAACUUCGUG